This 371-nucleotide ribosomal RNA is filed under the name uncultured organism. RNAcentral describes it as "bacterial SSU rRNA". It matches the Rfam family "Bacterial small subunit ribosomal RNA", at positions 527 to 896 of the family's 1533-position model. The record is from RNAcentral.
CGGGGGGGCAAGCGUUGUUCGGAAUUACUGGGCGUAAAGGGCUCGUAGGCGGCCAACUAAGUCGGACGUGAAAUCCCUCGGCUUAACCGGGGAACUGCGUCCGAUACUGGAUGGCUUGAGUUUGGGAGAGGGAUGCGGAAUUCCAGGUGUAGCGGUGAAAUGCGUAGAUAUCUGGAGGAACACCGGUGGCGAAGGCGGCAUCCUGGACCAACACUGACGCUGAGGAGCGAAAGCCAGGGGAGCAAACGGGAUUAGAUACCCCGGUAGUCCUGGCCCUAAACGAUGAAUGCUUGGUGUGACGGGUAUCGAUCCCUGUCGUGCCGAAGCUAACGCAUUAAGCAUUCCGCCUGGGGAGUACGGUCGCAAGGCUG